This 200-nucleotide ribosomal RNA is filed under the name uncultured bacterium. RNAcentral describes it as "partial 16S ribosomal RNA". It matches the Rfam family "Bacterial small subunit ribosomal RNA", at positions 29 to 258 of the family's 1533-position model. The record is from RNAcentral.
AACGAACGCUGGCGGCAGGCUUAACACAUGCAAGUCGAACGCCCCGCAAGGGGAGUGGCAGACGGGUGAGUAACGCGUGGGAAUCUACCGUACCCUACGGAAUAACGCAUGGAAACGUGUGCUAAUACCGUAUACGCCCUUAGUGGGAAAGAUUUAUCGGGGUAUGAUGAGCCCGCGUUGGAUUAGCUAGUUGGUGGGGU